CAGCGAGACAAAUUUGAGGGAGUGGCAGCGUGACCUGGAGCACAGGGUCGCAGAACUCACUCCCUCAAAUUUUGCCUGGCCACCCCGCCAUCAUCGGCCAUGUAUGUAUAUUUCUGGUUGAGACUGUGCCAUGAAGACAAGAUUCUAGGCAAUUACCAAUUUCCAUUCCAGUGACUUGUGUUACUCCUAAUUUAAACCAGUGUGAGAUUAGAUUUUGCCAAAUCCCUGCUGAAAACAAACCAGCAAAAAGACAAAAAACCUCCACUUUGAAACCUUUCCUUAUGGUGAUAAGGGAGUGAUGUACCUGAUAUGGAAGAAACUACCAUUUCCAUAAAAUUGAUGCCCAUGUCUGAACAAGCCCAUUAUACUUCAUCACAGGUGAGUGACCCGGCAGGUUUUUGUCACAGUUAUCAGCCCCUCUAUAUAAAGGCCAGAGCUGCCAGCUCAGCUCACAAGAUGAGGACAUCCCACCAGACAGGUUGGCUGCCUCCUACGGAGCUGGUGCUCCCGCUGCAGAGAUCUUGAAAGCCAUAAUCUUCUCCGGAAAUGGCAAGGUACAGACGCAGCAGGAGCAGAAGCAGAAGCCGUCGCAGAAGGCGACGAAGGGGAGGCCGCGGGGGUCGACGUGGAAGGAGGAGAAGACGACAUGGCAGAAGGAGAAGAGGUCGUAGAGGUAGAGAGAGAACUCGCAGGAGGAGGAGGAGGAGAAGGAGGAGUUUUUAAUUUCCUGAUUUCUCCCAUUCUCCUGUGCAAGUCAUCGACCCUUCACUCUACAAUAUCUGCUAUGGCAAAAAGAAACAACCCUUCAGUGACGACACCCCGCGAUGACUUCCUAAGAUGCAAGGAACCAGCUACCAUUUGAACAAUGCCACCUGUCAAUAAACUUUGAAAUUUCA
Mauremys reevesii (Reeves's turtle) is the source of this 896-nucleotide long non-coding RNA. RefSeq lists it as uncharacterized. The record is from RefSeq and is a predicted model, not a curated record. NCBI's taxonomy places the organism in Eukaryota, Metazoa, Chordata, Testudines, Geoemydidae. The transcript is spliced from 2 exons.